Non-coding RNA from Nomia melanderi (Alkali bee), 73 nucleotides. Lineage: Eukaryota; Metazoa; Arthropoda; Insecta; Hymenoptera; Halictidae. The record is from the annotation of a RefSeq genome assembly.
GUUUCCGUGGUGCAGCGGUUACCACAUCCGCCUAACACGCGGAAGAUCCCCGGUUCGAUCCCGGGCGGAAACA